This 1424-nucleotide ribosomal RNA is filed under the name Triticum aestivum (bread wheat). Its description in RNAcentral is "partial small subunit ribosomal RNA". The record is from RNAcentral. Lineage: Eukaryota; Viridiplantae; Streptophyta; Magnoliopsida; Poales; Poaceae.
UGCGGGUAGAGAGACGUCUAACAAGAGAAAAUUUUUUUAGUCGCGACGAAACUAAGUACCUUUAUUUCUUCGAAAACUUCGUCAUUUCAAGUUUGGGAUCGGUAUCUAACGAUAAUAACAGAUAAAUAUAACACGCUAACAAUCGUUGACUUAACCUAUUACCAAAAACGUCCCGAUGGAAAUCUUAGGCGUCCAUCUUCUAAAGACGUUUGUCUUUCGUUUUACUCCCGUUUAAUUAGAAACAUUCAUACCACCUACCAACCCGUUUAUCCGGUGACCUUCUACAGGUAUCAGUAUACGGACGUAAUGUAGCUGAACUACGAUGAUAAAUGAGAGUUCUUGUAGACAUUCAUACAUACACUCUAUCGUUCGUUACAACCUACGGGAGUGAUAAAUGAAAGAUAACCGUAUAUCCUGAUACACGAACAGGUCAUUUGUGUAGAGGUCAAAGGAUAAUUAAGAAACCAUGUUUACCUUAUGUACAUCGUGAAACAUUUACAAAGGAAUACUUUAUAGUAUGACAUUGUAGUACAAGAUAAAUCAGGGAUCUUCGUUAUGAACCAAAGUUGAAACUUUCUGCUUUACUUAAGGAGAUACCCCGCAGACUUGUUUUUCUCCGUAGAAGGAGCAGGCCAGUGAUUCUAUUAAAGCCAGUGAAUAGACUUGUUUUUCCCAAGACCAGAGAAUUACUUUAACCCCCAGGUAACUCCCGAAGUCACUGUUGUGGCCGCAGCGACGCAUGUUCAGGAACUAGAUAGAAGCGUUAUAUAGUUACAACCACAGAGAGAAGAGGUACGGAGAUUAUCAAGUACCUUCAUUGACGUAUUGGUUUAACUAAUUCUGAUGGACGUAGCACACUAAAUUAGUUAACUUAAAUUAACUGAACUAAAGGAGAUAAUACAACAACAAGAGAGUUAACUCCAACCGACUGGUACGAAGAUGGGAUAGGGGAUCCUAAAAAAUCUCGUGACUUCUACACAAACACCAUCUGUCCUUUGAUGUACGUCUGAUUUGAAGUUCUAACACGUUGACUAUAACUUGUGGUGCAAGAUUAGGACUGAGAGAUCGGAAACUUGGAAGAGUUGAUGAUUGAUGCGGGGUUAGGUCGUAAAUAAAAAGUCCGAUUGUUUCCGCUGUUACUAAGUGGAUCACCUACUCCUUCGUAUUUCUACUCUCAUUUCAACCCAGGUAGGAGAUAUUCCUUCGUUUAUUUUCCUGAUGUCAGUGUUCCUUGUUACUUCGGUCGAUAGAUGCAGUUGAUCUACAAAAUCGAAAUUAAAACAUGUUGACUACAGAAUAUGAACGUAGAAAAUCGAUAGGAAAACACUUGGACUACAUACCAUAAAACCACCAAUAUAAUCUUGUCUGGUUUCACAUACAUACACUGUUAAUCAAGUACCUUAUUUUUACAAACCACGAGGACC